Molecule: ribosomal RNA, 1540 nt
Filed under: Staphylococcus aureus M0144
Lineage: Bacteria; Bacillati; Bacillota; Bacilli; Caryophanales; Staphylococcaceae
Also listed under: 1 other name
Description: 16S ribosomal RNA
Rfam family: Bacterial small subunit ribosomal RNA
Source: RNAcentral
AGAGUUUGAUCCUGGCUCAGGAUGAACGCUGGCGGCGUGCCUAAUACAUGCAAGUCGAGCGAACGGACGAGAAGCUUGCUUCUCUGAUGUUAGCGGCGGACGGGUGAGUAACACGUGGAUAACCUACCUAUAAGACUGGGAUAACUUCGGGAAACCGGAGCUAAUACCGGAUAAUAUUUUGAACCGCAUGGUUCAAAAGUGAAAGACGGUCUUGCUGUCACUUAUAGAUGGAUCCGCGCUGCAUUAGCUAGUUGGUAAGGUAACGGCUUACCAAGGCAACGAUGCAUAGCCGACCUGAGAGGGUGAUCGGCCACACUGGAACUGAGACACGGUCCAGACUCCUACGGGAGGCAGCAGUAGGGAAUCUUCCGCAAUGGGCGAAAGCCUGACGGAGCAACGCCGCGUGAGUGAUGAAGGUCUUCGGAUCGUAAAACUCUGUUAUUAGGGAAGAACAUAUGUGUAAGUAACUGUGCACAUCUUGACGGUACCUAAUCAGAAAGCCACGGCUAACUACGUGCCAGCAGCCGCGGUAAUACGUAGGUGGCAAGCGUUAUCCGGAAUUAUUGGGCGUAAAGCGCGCGUAGGCGGUUUUUUAAGUCUGAUGUGAAAGCCCACGGCUCAACCGUGGAGGGUCAUUGGAAACUGGAAAACUUGAGUGCAGAAGAGGAAAGUGGAAUUCCAUGUGUAGCGGUGAAAUGCGCAGAGAUAUGGAGGAACACCAGUGGCGAAGGCGACUUUCUGGUCUGUAACUGACGCUGAUGUGCGAAAGCGUGGGGAUCAAACAGGAUUAGAUACCCUGGUAGUCCACGCCGUAAACGAUGAGUGCUAAGUGUUAGGGGGUUUCCGCCCCUUAGUGCUGCAGCUAACGCAUUAAGCACUCCGCCUGGGGAGUACGACCGCAAGGUUGAAACUCAAAGGAAUUGACGGGGACCCGCACAAGCGGUGGAGCAUGUGGUUUAAUUCGAAGCAACGCGAAGAACCUUACCAAAUCUUGACAUCCUUUGACAACUCUAGAGAUAGAGCCUUCCUCUUCGGGGGACAAAGUGACAGGUGGUGCAUGGUUGUCGUCAGCUCGUGUCGUGAGAUGUUGGGUUAAGUCCCGCAACGAGCGCAACCCUUAAGCUUAGUUGCCAUCAUUAAGUUGGGCACUCUAAGUUGACUGCCGGUGACAAACCGGAGGAAGGUGGGGAUGACGUCAAAUCAUCAUGCCCCUUAUGAUUUGGGCUACACACGUGCUACAAUGGACAAUACAAAGGGCAGCGAAACCGCGAGGUUAAGCAAAUCCCAUAAAGUUGUUCUCAGUUCGGAUUGUAGUCUGCAACUCGACUACAUGAAGCUGGAAUCGCUAGUAAUCGUAGAUCAGCAUGCUACGGUGAAUACGUUCCCGGGUCUUGUACACACCGCCCGUCACACCACGAGAGUUUGUAACACCCGAAGCCGGUGGAGUAACCUUUUAGGAGCUAGCCGUCGAAGGUGGGACAAAUGAUUGGGGUGAAGUCGUAACAAGGUAGCCGUAUCGGAAGGUGCGGCUGGAUCACCU